This 377-nucleotide ribosomal RNA is filed under the name uncultured Acidobacteriota bacterium. Its description in RNAcentral is "bacterial SSU rRNA". It matches the Rfam family "Bacterial small subunit ribosomal RNA", at positions 521 to 896 of the family's 1533-position model. The record is from RNAcentral. Lineage: Bacteria; Pseudomonadati; Acidobacteriota.
UAAUACGGGGGGGGCAAGCGUUGUUCGGAAUUACUGGGCGUAAAGGGCUCGUAGGCGGCCAUCCAAGUCGGACGUGAAAUCCCCAGGCUCAACCUGGGAACUGCGUUCGAUACUGGUUGGCUUGAAUCCGGGAGAGGGAUGCGGAAUUCCAGGUGUAGCGGUGAAAUGCGUAGAUAUCUGGAGGAACACCGGUGGCGAAGGCGGCAUCCUGGACCGGUAUUGACGCUGAGGAGCGAAAGCCAGGGGAGCGAACGGGAUUAGAUACCCCGGUAGUCCUGGCCCUAAACGAUGAAUGCUUGGUGUGGCGGGUAUCGAUCCCUGCCGUGCCGGAGCUAACGCGUUAAGCAUUCCGCCUGGGGAGUACGGUCGCAAGGCUG